GUCGCGAUGCCAGAGUGGUUAAUGGGUAAGACUUGAAUUCAGCAUUCAGUCAUCUUAUGGUUUCGGCCUCGUAGGUUCAAAUCCUGCUCGCGACG
Molecule: non-coding RNA, 95 nt
Organism: Cadophora sp. MPI-SDFR-AT-0126
Lineage: Eukaryota; Fungi; Ascomycota; Leotiomycetes; Helotiales; Ploettnerulaceae
Source: the annotation of a GenBank genome assembly